This 253-nucleotide ribosomal RNA is filed under the name uncultured bacterium. RNAcentral's name for it is "partial 16S ribosomal RNA". It matches the Rfam family "Bacterial small subunit ribosomal RNA", at positions 524 to 776 of the family's 1533-position model. The record is from RNAcentral.
UACGUAGGGGGCAAGCGUUGGCCGGAUUUAUUGGGCGUAAAGAGCGUGUAGGCGGCCUUACAGGUCAGCUGUGAAAACUCGAGGCUCAACCUCGAGACGUCGGUUGAAACCGUAAGGCUAGAGUCCGGAAGAGGAGAGUGGAAUUCCCGGUGUAGCGGUGAAAUGCGCAGAUAUCGGGAAGAACACCCGUGGCGAAGGCGGCUCUCUGGGACGGUACUGACGCUGAGACGCGAAAGCGUGGGGAGCGAACAGG